UUUUCUCUAUCAUUACCUUGG
Molecule: microRNA, 21 nt
Filed under: Tetranychus urticae (two-spotted spider mite)
Lineage: Eukaryota; Metazoa; Arthropoda; Arachnida; Trombidiformes; Tetranychidae
Description: tur-miR-5738-3p
Source: miRBase by way of RNAcentral